UUCCUGGCCAUGGCAGAUGGCUGCCCUCCCUGAGCCUUGAUCUGUUGGAAGUUUCUGCCUCUUAAGUGGGAGUUUUGCCUCUAACUGCUUACUCAUGAGGGAGAUCUUCAUAUAACUAUAUGUGACUUGAGAUGACAAUCGUUGGGAUUUGGCACCAAAUUAAUAAAUUAAAUCAAAUAAAGAAAUAAAACGACUUGUUUGCUCAUUUUGAUUGUGGGGUAAAUGCAAUCUGUGGACUUUUCAACACAAUCUUUAUUAUUCCCAAGACAGAUGCAAACAAUGUAUUUUGAGGCCAUUCAGAAACAAAGCCACUUCGUUUAUAGAUUGGAACCUUCUGUUUGUGCUUACCAAAGUUGCUGUGUGUUAUUUGGUAGAUUACAUUAAUUUACUGGGUGAAAAUGGUUUCUCUAAUGAAUAAUGGGGGGGGAGAGAGACCCUAAUACAACAGAUAUUGAAAUAGAGAUUGCUCUGUGAAAUGCCAGCAGUAAAAUUAUCCUGUUUUAUAAAAAGACUUUGCAUAUACUUUUCUUGCACAUGUAGAAACUUUUUUUUUAGCAGAAGUAAAACAAUCUAGCCUAAGUUAGGAAUAAUCGAAUAUAUUUGAAAUAAGAAAUGAAACUGUGACAAAAUUUACAUUGCAAAUGCAUAUUAUCACAACAAAGCAAUGCAAUAUGUACAUCAGAUGACAGAUACAAUAUACAGACUUGAUACAUUCUAUAAUAUGCUUAAAUAUGGCAGUACAAGAGAAAUAUUUUCAUUGCAAAGAUAUAUUUUAAACAUAGCAUGAACAAAAUAUACAGCAUAUUCAAGAGGACUGCAUUUCUGUAUAAUCAGAAUAUCAAAGCAUAUCAACUUCACUUUAGUUUUGCUUUCUCUUGCAAAUGCUAACCCAUUUACAGUGUCGUCAAAUCUGUCCAUUCACUCUUCUAACCAACAAUCUAUCCAUGCCUCGCCCGUCACACAGCAGUCUGUCAAGCCAAUUUUUCUCAUCCAUCCUUUGGAAUUCUCAUGUAUCCAUUCACUUCUCAUCCACCCAUGAACCCUUCUAAGCAUCUAUCCAUCCACUGCUCAUCUUAAACUUGUCUUUUCAAAGACUGAUCAACGCUACUUACUUGUGGUUUGUAACAAGGUUCAAUCUUAUGUUCUAACAUGCAUUGUAUGAAGACUUUGCUGUUUGAUAUCUUUUGGUUUUCUUGUUUCCAUUUCUAAGAUUUACCAUCUAAAUGAAAAUCAAAUAAGUCGUUUUCCAGCCAGUUCUCAUUCAGAGGAUGUCAAAUGAUGCCUUUUUGACAAAGACACUGGCAGUUCACACAUACAUUCAAAAUUCCUUUGUUGUUGGUGCUACAAUGAUAUAGAUAUAUGGCAACUAUGAGAUGAAUUUACUCUAAACUAUUUACAUAUAAUACAUACUUACAAAUACCAUUUCACGUGUUUAACCACACUAGGUAACCAUCAUUUUCUUUUAAACGCAUAGAUUUCAGAUAAUGAAGAGGUAUAUUUAAUCUAAACCACAACCUUUGUCAAACAUAGUCAAGUCCUUAAAUCAAUAUGUGCAAGUAAAAUGAGAGUAUCAGUUAUAUUAAGCAGUAUGUUAAUCAGUACUUGAUUCCACCUAGAGCGAUCAUUAAACCACACCCAAGAAAGAACUCCAUCAUUUAUGCAAAAAUCACCAUGUAAGGUAAUCUGCAAGGCAUGUGAGGGGGCAGUUUCUCAUAACUCCCAAAAUAUUGCUUUUAAGCUACAUUAAAUCACAAACCUCAUUAUGCUCUUUAAACGUUGUUUUCAAAAGUGUGUGUGAAUGAUGCACAGAGUGAGCAGGAAAGAGUUGAGUUGAAAUACUGAGAUGAACUGGACCAGGUUGCUAAGAGCAGCAUGACCAUGGGGCAGUGAGGAAAUGGGGAUAUUGUGCCCAGGCAUGGUAGUAGGAAACUGUGCCUGGUGUGAGUACACCCUUAUGGCUUUCCAUUUUUAACUUCCAGAUGUGUUCUUUGUUUAGAAAAGGACAGUUAUCUCUCAGUCUCAAAUAUCUUUAUGGCUGAUUCACAGAGGCAUCAAACCAAGGGACAUGAUGUACAUGUGUGAAAUGCCAGCAGCAUUUGACAGAAUGGCAGCGUUUGUGUUGCAUUAUCCUUGCUGUGAUAUAAUAUGCCAUUUAUCUGCAGCUACAGUUCUGCUUCCGCAGUGACUAGUCUAUACAAUUCAUCCUAGCAGUAGAAAUGCAAUACAGUGUUGAAAAGCCUGUGAGGGAGCAAUGGAGUACGGCAAUACAGCAGUUAUACAUAAAAUGGAUCCCUCAAAAUUAUGCUAACACUGAUGUUUGUUUACAUUUGUCAAAUGCGUCCGUGGCCCUCACCAAGUCCUAUGUCCAGUCUACAGAUCCAAAAGAACAACAACACCAAAAAAACAUUAUACACCUUAUGAAACCUUAGAAAAAAUGGUGCUGUUUACUAAAAAUAUUUUCCCUGAAAAAAGAAAAACAAACUUCCCUGACUUUUUCUACAACAUAGUGAAGUUUACUUUGGGGAGAAAAAAGGGCAUGAGUGCUAUCUGUCAGAGAAAUGCAUUUCACCUACAAAACUGAAGGUGGGAACAUAUGCUAACUUCUCAGCAGCAAAAACACGGGUGUAAGCACUUUCAGCUGGACCUCAAACAACUCUCAUGAAUCCAAUAACAUGUUGCAAAGCUGAACUAUUGCUUGGAUUCAGCAGAAAAACUAAAUCCUUCAAUAAAUUCCAAGGUUGGAAUAUGAUCAAUUGGGUUUCUCAGUGAGUAUGCUUCUACGAAUUAGUUAAGGCAACACAAACACAGAGAUAAAAUAAUUCCUCAAUAGGGAAUCUGUGAGCGUAAAUUAAUACAAUAUUUGGAAUGUUCUCAAUUUAAAAAUGAGCUUUCUCACAGUGGCAUGAAGUCACCCUUGCAGAAACUCAUAUCUGGGAUUAGAUUGCUUAGAAAGCACAUUUUCUAGCUAUUGUACAGUGCAUGCACACAAAUCAGAAACUAUGUAUGAAUACCAUAAGUCCUGUCUUUGAAUAGCAGCUGGCAUGCAGGGAAUCAAUGUGAAAUGUUCUUAACAAGAUUGGUAGUGAAAAUCUCAUUAUGUAAAAAUGAGUCUUACUUUAUCUCGGUGGCAUGCAGCUCAACACAUCGUAGAGAUAAUUCCAUUUCCUUAAACAUUAAUGCUUCAUCUCCAUCAAAAGCCUUUUGACUUCUUCUGUGUGCUAUUCAUUGAAGCUAUAUAGAGCAUAAAAUGGAAAACAUGAUUGUUUUACUUCUCAUGUAUUUUCUGAUUAAUUAGCUAUCAUUAACUGAUAAAGGAAAUUCUUCUUGAAUGACUUUUCCCCACAUUUUGCACCCCUGAUACAGCAGCAGACUUUGGAACUAAAACUGAACAAAUGAAUGCAUUUUAUAUGAACAAUGAGACAGAUAUGUGUAAAUUAAACGGGUUUGCUUCUAGUGACAUCCAACUCUGCAGUUCUGCUGAGUUCUUU
Molecule: long non-coding RNA, 3488 nt
Organism: Astatotilapia calliptera (eastern happy)
Lineage: Eukaryota; Metazoa; Chordata; Actinopteri; Cichliformes; Cichlidae
Source: Ensembl